UGAAGAAAUCGGCGCAGAAUGUCCGUUGUCUAAAUUGGCGACACAUUGGCCCAAAACAACAGAACUCCUGGUCAACGGAACUCUUUCACAACUACUCCAAACGGACUGUUUCAAGAUGAUUAACUUACCGAUGACACAAUAAAGUCUCCAUUUACAACCAAGAAUGGCAGUGAAUGGCCGUCUAUCAAGGCGCAUCCAUCCAUGAUAAAAGUAAUCCACCACAUGACUCUGGCGGGGUUAUAAAGCCCUUUUAAAGCGAAGCAUUUGUGCUAUGAGGAAAAACUCUACCGUGCACACAGAGAACAGAGCUCAAUGCUAACUGGGGGUGCAGCUGGACAACUAGAAGAGAGAAUAGUAGAACACUAUUAUUAAUACAGAUUCCUGGAUUAUUUUUUUAAAUAUGGCAAGAACCAAAACAAGCAAAGACUGAUGAUGAGUGCUCUGAGCAAACACCGCAGUCAAGACGCAUGAGUGACUUUACUGAGUUCUUCAUGUAAUGUUGGGCAUUUACUGUACGCAGAACUUCUAAUAAUUUAUGUGGAUGCCAUUUAAACCUGUUAGAUUUUGAUGUUUUAGUUUUGAGAUUAAUAAAAUGUUAUGCUUUAACAA
Molecule: non-coding RNA, 609 nt
Organism: Pimephales promelas (fathead minnow)
Lineage: Eukaryota; Metazoa; Chordata; Actinopteri; Cypriniformes; Leuciscidae
Source: RefSeq, a predicted model, not a curated record